ACGGAAGGCAGCAGUGAGGAAUAUUGGUCAAUGGACGCAAGUCUGAACCAGCCAUGCCGCGUGCAGGAAUAAGGCCCUAUGGGUCGUAAACUGCUUUUGUGGUGGAGCAAUAAGUCGUACGUGUACGGCGAUGAGAGUACAUCACGAAUAAGCAUCGGCUAACUCCGUGCCAGCAGCCGCGGUAAUACGGAGGAUGCGAGCGUUAUCCGGAUUUAUUGGGUUUAAAGGGUGCGUAGGCGGGCUAUUAAGUCAGCGGUCAAAUCGUGUUGCUCAACAAUACUUAGCCGUUGAAACUGGUGGUCUUGAGUGUAAAUGAGGUAGGCGGAAUGUGACGUGUAGCGGUGAAAUGCUUAGAUAUGUCACAGAACCCCGAUUGCGAAGGCAGCUUACCAAGAUACAACUGACGCUGAGGCACGAAAGCGUGGGUAUCAAACAGGAUUAGAUACCCUGGUA
Molecule: ribosomal RNA, 453 nt
Filed under: uncultured Porphyromonadaceae bacterium
Lineage: Bacteria; Pseudomonadati; Bacteroidota; Bacteroidia; Bacteroidales; Porphyromonadaceae
Description: bacterial SSU rRNA
Rfam family: Bacterial small subunit ribosomal RNA
Source: RNAcentral